GGGGUUGUAGCUCAGUGGUAGAGCACUUGCCUAGCAAGUACGAGUUCAUGGGUUUAAUCCCA
RNAcentral lists this transfer RNA (62 nucleotides) under Ictidomys tridecemlineatus (thirteen-lined ground squirrel). Its description in RNAcentral is "Spermophilus tridecemlineatus (thirteen-lined ground squirrel) tRNA". It matches the Rfam family "tRNA", at positions 1 to 62 of the family's 71-position model. Rfam says of the family: Transfer RNA (tRNA) molecules are approximately 80 nucleotides in length. Their secondary structure includes four short double-helical elements and three loops (D, anti-codon, and T loops). Further hydrogen bonds mediate the characteristic L-shaped molecular structure. tRNAs have two regions of fundamental functional importance: the anti-codon, which is responsible for specific mRNA codon recognition, and the 3' end, to which the tRNAs corresponding amino acid is attached (by aminoacyl-tRNA synthetases). tRNAs cope with the degeneracy of the genetic code in two manners: having more than one tRNA (with a specific anti-codon) for a particular amino acid; and 'wobble' base-pairing, i.e. permitting non-standard base-pairing at the 3rd anti-codon position. RNAcentral also lists the same sequence under 1 other name. The record is from Rfam by way of RNAcentral. Lineage: Eukaryota; Metazoa; Chordata; Mammalia; Rodentia; Sciuridae.